This 476-nucleotide ribosomal RNA is filed under the name uncultured bacterium. Its description in RNAcentral is "SSU rRNA". It matches the Rfam family "Bacterial small subunit ribosomal RNA", at positions 26 to 522 of the family's 1533-position model. The record is from RNAcentral.
AGGACGAACGCUGGCGGCGUGCUUAACACAUGCAAGUCGAGCGGAAAGGCUCCUUCGGGGGUACUCGAGCGGCGAACGGGUGAGUAACACGUGAGUAAUCUGCCCUCCACUUUGGGAUAACUGCCUGAAAGGGUGGCUAAUACCGGGUAUUCUCCUUGCACCGCAUGGUGUGGGGUGGGAAGUUUUUUCGGUGGGGGAUGUGCUCGCGGCCUAUCAGCUUGUUGGUGAGGUAACGGCUCACCAAGGCGACGACGCGUAGCCGGGCUGAGAGGUCGGCCGGCCACAUUGGGACUGAGACACUGCCCAGACUCCUACGGGGGGCUGCAGUAACGAAUCUUCCGCAAUGCACGCAAGUGUGACGGAGCGACGCCGCGUGGAGGACGAAGUUCUUCGGAAUGUAAACUCCUGUCAGGGGCAGCCAAGUUCUGACGGCGCCCAGAGGAGGCACGGCUAACUCUGCGCCAGCAGCCGCGGUA